GGUUAAGCGACUAAGCGUACACGGUGGAUGCCCUGGCAGUCAGAGGCGAUGAAGGACGUGCUAAUCUGCGAUAAGCGUCGGUAAGGUGAUAUGAACCGUUAUAACCGGCGAUUUCCGAAUGGGGAAACCCAGUGUGUUUCGUCACACUAUCAUUAACUGAAUCCAUAGGUUAAUGAGGCGAAC
This 183-nucleotide ribosomal RNA is filed under the name Escherichia coli. RNAcentral describes it as "partial 23S ribosomal RNA". It matches the Rfam family "Bacterial large subunit ribosomal RNA", at positions 1 to 184 of the family's 2925-position model. The record is from RNAcentral. Lineage: Bacteria; Pseudomonadati; Pseudomonadota; Gammaproteobacteria; Enterobacterales; Enterobacteriaceae.